GAUGAACGCUGACAGCAUUCUUAACACAUGCAAGUCUACUUGAUCCUUCGGGUGAUGGCGGCGGACGGGUGAGUAACGCGUAAAGAACUUGCCCUGCAGUCUGGGACAACAUUUGGAAACGAAUGCUAAUACCGGAUAUUAUGUGAGUUUCGCAUGAAAUUCAUAUGAAAGCUAUAUGCGCUGCAGGAGAGCUUUGCGUCCUAUUAGCUAGUUGGUGAGGUAACGGCUCACCAAGGCGAUGAUAGGUAGCCGGCCUGAGAGGGUGAACGGCCACAAGGGGACUGAGACACGGCCCUUACUCCUACGGGAGGCAGCAGUGGGGAAUAUUGGACAAUGGACCAAAAGUCUGAUCCAGCAAUUCUGUGUGCACGAUGAAGUUUUUCGGAAUGUAAAGUGCUUUCAGUUGGGACGAAGUAAGUGACGGUACCAACAGAAGAAGCGACGGCUAAAUACGUGCCAGCAGCCGCGGUAAUACGUAUGUCGCAAGCGUUAUCCGGAUUUAUUGGGCGUAAAGCGCGUCUAGGCGGUUUGGUAAGUCUGAUGUGAAAAUGCGGGGCUCAACUCCGUAUUGCGUUGGAAACUGCCAAACUAGAGUACUGGAGAGGUGGGCGGAACUACAAGUGUAGAGGUGAAAUUCGUAGAUAUUUGUAGGAAUGCCGAUGGGGAAGCCAGCCCACUGGACAGAUACUGACGCUAAAGCGCGAAAGCGUGGGUAGCANACAGG
Molecule: ribosomal RNA, 724 nt
Filed under: uncultured bacterium
Lineage: Bacteria
Description: bacterial SSU rRNA
Rfam family: Bacterial small subunit ribosomal RNA
Source: RNAcentral